AAGAAUGGAUGCUGAAGGGACUCAGUUGGAGUGGGCUCUCAGGUUUGAGACUGGUGCAGUAGGAGUGAGCUAGCCUGGAUCUCUGAUUUGCAGAGCACACUCACAACCUGGGCUACAAUUGAUGC
Molecule: microRNA precursor, 125 nt
Organism: Vulpes vulpes (red fox)
Lineage: Eukaryota; Metazoa; Chordata; Mammalia; Carnivora; Canidae
Source: Ensembl